AGCAGCCGCGGUAAUUCCAGCUCCAAUAGCGUAUAUUAAAGUUGUUGCAGUUAAAAAGCUCGUAGUUGAAUUUCGGGAUCAGUUGGUCGGUCGUGCCUCGGUACGUACUGGUCAAAUUGAUUCCUACCUUCUGACGAACCACGAUGUCAUUAAUUUGGUGUCGCGGGAAAUCAGGACUGUUACUUUGAAAAAAUUAGAGUGUUUAAAGCAGGCUCGCGCUUGAAUACAUUAGCAUGGAAUAAUGAAAUAGGAUGUUUGAUUCUAUUUUGUUGGUUUCUAGGAUCGACGUAAUGAUUAAUAGGGAUAGUUGGGGGCAUUAGUAUUCAAUUGUCAGAGGUGAAAUUCUUGGAUUUAUUGAAGACUGACUACUGCGAAAGCAUUUGCCAAGGAUGUUUUCAUUAAUCAAGAACGAAAGUUAGGGGAUCGAAGACGAUCAGAUACCGUCGUAGUCUUAACCAUAAACUAUGCCGACUAGGGAUCGGAUGAUGUUAAUUUUUUAAUGACUCAUUCGGCGCCUUACG
Molecule: ribosomal RNA, 521 nt
Filed under: uncultured Glomeraceae
Lineage: Eukaryota; Fungi; Glomeromycota; Glomeromycetes; Glomerales; Glomeraceae
Description: SSU rRNA
Rfam family: Eukaryotic small subunit ribosomal RNA
Source: RNAcentral